Molecule: ribosomal RNA, 543 nt
Filed under: Mycobacterium sp. 324-668
Lineage: Bacteria; Bacillati; Actinomycetota; Actinomycetes; Mycobacteriales; Mycobacteriaceae
Description: bacterial SSU rRNA
Rfam family: Bacterial small subunit ribosomal RNA
Source: RNAcentral
GUGCUUAACACAUGCAAGUCGAACGGUAAGGCCCUUUCGGGGGUACACGAGUGGCGAACGGGUGAGUAACACGUGGGUGAUCUGCCCUGCACUUUGGGAUAAGCCUGGGAAACUGGGUCUAAUACCGAAUACACCCUGCUGGUCGCAUGGCCUGGUGGGGGAAAGCUUUUGCGGUGUGGGAUGGGCCCGCGGCCUAUCAGCUUGUUGGUGGGGUGAUGGCCUACCAAGGCGACGACGGGUAGCCGGCCUGAGAGGGUGUCCGGCCACACUGGGACUGAGAUACGGCCCAGACUCCUACGGGAGGCAGCAGUGGGGAAUAUUGCACAAUGGGCGCAAGCCUGAUGCAGCGACGCCGCGUGAGGGAUGACGGCCUUCGGGUUGUAAACCUCUUUCAGCAGGGACGAAGCGCAAGUGACGGUACCUGUAGAAGAAGCACCGGCCAACUACGUGCCAGCAGCCGCGGUAAUACGUAGGGUGCGAGCGUUGUCCGGAAUUACUGGGCGUAAAGAGCUCGUAGGUGGUUUGUCGCGUUGUCCGUGAAAA